Molecule: ribosomal RNA, 450 nt
Filed under: uncultured bacterium
Lineage: Bacteria
Description: bacterial SSU rRNA
Rfam family: Bacterial small subunit ribosomal RNA
Source: RNAcentral
UGGGGAAUAUUGGACAAUGGGGGCAACCCUGAUCCAGCGAUGCCGCGUGUGUGAAGAAGGCCUGCGGGUUGUAAAGCACUUUCGGUGGUGAGGAUGCUCAUCAGUGUUAAUAGCACUGGUGGGUGACGUUAGCCACAUAAGAAGCACCGGCAAACUCUGUGCCAGCAGCCGCGGUAAUACAGAGGGUGCAAGCGUUAAUCGGAAUUACUGGGCGUAAAGGGCGCGUAGGUGGAGAUAUAAGUCAAAUGUGAAAGCCCCGGGCUUAACCUGGGAAUUGCAUGUGAUACUGUAUUUCUAGAGUGGAGUAGAGGGUAGUGGAAUUUCCGGUGUAGCGGUGAAAUGCGUAGAUAUCGGAAGGAACACCAGUGGCGAAGGCGGCUACCUGGACUUUAACUGACACUGAGGCGCGAAAGCGUGGGGAGCGAAGAGGAUUAGAUACCCGGGUAGUCC